Molecule: ribosomal RNA, 717 nt
Filed under: Geobacillus stearothermophilus
Lineage: Bacteria; Bacillati; Bacillota; Bacilli; Caryophanales; Anoxybacillaceae
Description: bacterial SSU rRNA
Rfam family: Bacterial small subunit ribosomal RNA
Source: RNAcentral
ACCGAUGUGGAAUCCUGCUCCCUCAGACCGGGAUACUCCGGGAAACCGGAGCUAAUACCGGAUAACACCGAAGACCGCAUGGUCUUCGGUUGAAAGGCGGCCUUUGGGCUGUCACUUGCGGAUGGGCCCGCGGCGCAUUAGCUAGUUGGUGAGGUAACGGCUCACCAAGGCGACGAUGCGUAGCCGGCCUGAGAGGGUGACCGGCCACACUGGGACUGAGACACGGCCCAGACUCCUACGGGAGGCAGCAGUAGGGAAUCUUCCGCAAUGGGCGAAAGCCUGACGGAGCGACGCCGCGUGAGCGAAGAAGGCCUUCGGGUCGUAAAGCUCUGUUGUGAGGGACGAAGGAGCGCCGUUUGAAGAAGGCGGCGCGGUGACGGUACCUCGCGAGAGAGGCCCCGGCUAACUACGUGCCAGCAGCCGCGGUAAUACGUAGGGGGCGAGCGUUGUCCGGAAUUAUUGGGCGUAAAGCGCGCGCAGGCGGUCUCUUAAGUCUGAUGUGAAAGCCACGGCUCAACCGUGGAGGGUCAUUGGAAACUGGGGGACUUGAGGGCAGGAGAGGAGAGCGGAAUUCACGUGUAGCGGUGAAAUGCGUAGAGAUGUGGAGGAACAGCAGUGCGAGCGCUCUCUGGGCUGCACCUGACGCUGAGCGCGAAGCGUGGGGAGCAAACAGGAUUAGAUACGCUGGUAGUCCACGCCGUAAACGAUGAGUGCUAA